UGGCGGACGGGUGAGUAACGCGUGGGGGAACCUGCCCUGUACAGGGGGAUAACACUUAGAAAUAAGUGCUAAUACCGCAUAAGCGCACAGUGUCGCAUGAUACAGUGUGAAAAACUCCGGUGGUACAGGAUGGACCCGCGUCUGAUUAGCUGGUUGGCGGGGUAACGGCCCACCAAGGCGACGAUCAGUAGCCGGCCUGAGAGGGUGAACGGCCACAUUGGGACUGAGACACGGCCCAAACUCCUACGGAAGGCAGCAG
RNAcentral lists this ribosomal RNA (259 nucleotides) under uncultured bacterium. RNAcentral's name for it is "partial 16S ribosomal RNA". It matches the Rfam family "Bacterial small subunit ribosomal RNA", at positions 96 to 354 of the family's 1533-position model. The record is from RNAcentral.